This 497-nucleotide ribosomal RNA is filed under the name uncultured bacterium. RNAcentral describes it as "partial 16S ribosomal RNA". It matches the Rfam family "Bacterial small subunit ribosomal RNA", at positions 28 to 507 of the family's 1533-position model. The record is from RNAcentral.
GAUGAACGCUGGCGGCGUGCCUAAUACAUGCAAGUCGAGCGAACGGACGAGAAGCUUGCUUCUCUGAUGUAAGCGGCGGACGGGUGAGUAACACGUGGAUAACCUACCUAUAAGACUGGGAUAACUUCGGGAAACCGGAGCUAAUACCGGAUAAUAUUUUGAACCGCAUGGUUCAAACGUGAAAGACGGUCUUUCUGUCACUUAUAGAUGGAUCCGCGCUGCAUUAGCUAGUUGGUAAGGUAGCGGCUUACCAAGGCAACGAUGCAUAGCCGACCUGAGAGGGUGGUCGGCCACACUGGAACUGAGACACGGUCCAGACUCCUACGGGAGGCAGCAGUAGGGAAUCUUCCGCAAUGGGCGAAAGCCUGACGGAGCAACGCCGCGGGAGUGAUGAAGGUCUUCGGAUCGUAAAACUCUGUUAUUAGGGAAGAACAUAUGUGUAAGUAACUGUGCACAUCUUGACGGUACCUAAUCAGAAAGCCACGGCUAACUACGUG